Non-coding RNA from Camellia sinensis, 931 nucleotides. Lineage: Eukaryota; Viridiplantae; Streptophyta; Magnoliopsida; Ericales; Theaceae. The record is from RefSeq and is a predicted model, not a curated record.
GUGGAGUAGGUGAAGGUAAAGAUGGGAAAUUCUAACAAUUCAAUACUAAUUCAAUUUAAGAAAAUUCAUAUAUGACUCUCUGUACAUCUGACCUCUCCAUCGAUGCUGCAGAUUACGCUGUUCAAAGUAUCAAUUGCUAACAAGAUCGAUCUUGGAACUGUCCUCAAGUUAAAUCUUCAUUCUUCUAAUCAAUCCUACUACCAUAAUAGCAAAGGAAAAUACACUUGUUGACUAUAUAAGAAAUGUGGCAUUUUGUUUGGUAAUUAGUUACUUUUCUUUUUUCCAGGUUCAGAUAGUUACGCUGUGUUUGGAUCAUAGAUUUGAAUAUGGAUUUGGAAAAAGGAAAGGGGGAGAAGAAAAAAAAGUCAAGGAAAUGUGAAUGAGAUAUAAGCUAAAUUUUUUCUCCAUUUCUUUUUCUUUUUCCAAAUCUCUAUCCAAAUUCAUGAUCCAAACCCAGUGUUCAUGUUUUGGCAAUUGUCUGACAGCUACCUGAAGGAAUAUUUGGAAUGGAACUCUUCAAACUAUUCUUACUUCAAUAUGCAACUGCUGUGAUAAGGGAGAUGGUUUGCUGACCCAUUGAAAGUCCAGUGUUAAUAUAAGCUUCAACUCUGUGUUCAUGUCAUGAUUUGCCAGUGGAGGUGAUUUACAUACGCGGUCAAGUUAUUACCCAUGAAUUCCAGCUUCAAUGGUUUAAAAAUUUUCAAGACUAUAUGUCAGUUUCUUGUAUAUUGAAAUAUCGUAGAAGCACCAUGUACGGUGUGAUGAGGGUACUGAUAUUGAAUGUAAAUAUAGUUAAUUAUUAGAUUAUGGAGAAAAAAAGUUCAUUAUGUAGCAAGGGCAGCAAUAUUUCAUUCACACUUUGUGGUUGUACAUUUGUUCUGCUGCAUUCAUCAGUUGGUUGUACUAAUGAAGUGAAUUAUUUUUCCACAAA